Molecule: ribosomal RNA, 207 nt
Filed under: uncultured delta proteobacterium
Lineage: Bacteria; Deltaproteobacteria
Description: partial 16S ribosomal RNA
Rfam family: Bacterial small subunit ribosomal RNA
Source: RNAcentral
CGUGUAGGCUGCUUGGAAAGUCGGAUGUGAAAGCCCUGGGCUCAACCUAGGAAGUGCAUUCGAAACUUCCAAGCUGGAGUGCUGGAGAGGAAGGCGGAAUUCUCGGUGUAGAGGUGAAAUUCGUAGAUAUCGAGAGGAACACCGGUGGCGAAGGCGGCCUUCUGGACAGUAACUGACGCUGAGACGCGAAAGCGUGGGGAGCAAACA